GGGGCGACCGACGGUCCUACACCCAAUGUGGCUCGGCCUUCUUCCUCUCAGGCAGUUAAAGGAAACCGGCACUACCCGCGUGUCUGCUUCUCCCGGCUCUGCCGCCGACCAGCUGCCGAGGUCGCCGAUUUCCUGUGACUUUCUUGUCAGAGUAUAUGCAUUGAAGCUAAAGACAAGAUAUUUGUGUAAUUUGUGUAAUCUGGCAUUGAAGUUGGAACAUAUGGCAAUGAAGAAAGAGACAGGAUUUGGGAUUUUCAUCUAAGAACAUGAUAGAUAACAACCAAACCUGUGCUGCAGGACAGGACUCUGUGCCCUAUGUGACCUGUAUGAUUUAUGUGCUUGAGGAGUGGUUGGGUGUGGAGCAAUUGGAGGACUAUCUGAAUUUUGCAAACCAUCUUUUGUGGGUUUUCACCCCACUGAUACUUUUAAUACUUCCUUAUUUUACCAUCUUUCUUCUCUACCUUACUAUUAUUUUCCUCCAUAUCUACAAGAGGAAGAAUGUAUUAAAAGAAGCCUACUCUCAUAACUUGUGGGAUGGUGCAAGGAAAACGGUGGCAACUCUGUGGGAUGGACAUGCGGCUGUUUGGCAUGGUUAUGAAGUUCAUGGGAUGGAAAAGAUACCAGAAGGAGCUGCACUUAUAAUUUUUUAUCAUGGAGCCAUCCCCAUAGACUUUUACUACUUCAUGGCUAAAAUUUUCAUCCAGAAAGGCAGAACUUGCCGAGUAGUAGCUGACCACUUUGUCUUUAAAAUUCCAGUAGAAACCAGCCAGGAGAGUUGAUAGUAUGCUCUCUGGAGUAAUAAAAGCAAAGCUGGCCCAGGAACCAGACUCAAACUCAGCAGUGAGCUAAGGAACAGUCUACUCCAGUGCCUUCUAUACAUAUGGGUUCAGUUUAUUACUUGAUGUGUUUUGUGCUCUUCAUGGACCAAGAGAAAAAUGUGUUGAAAUCUUGAGGAGUGGUCACUUGUUAGCUAUCUCACCGGGCGGAGUUCGAGAAGCCUUACUUAGUGAUGAAACCUACAACAUCAUAUGGGGUAAUCGUAAAGGCUUUGCUCAGGUUGCAAUUGAUGCAAAAGUGCCCAUUAUUCCUAUGUUUACACAAAAUAUUCGAGAAGGAUUUAGAUCACUUGGAGGCACAAGAUUAUUUAAGUGGCUUUAUGAAAAAUUCCGCUAUCCAUUUGCUCCAAUGUAUGGAGGUUUUCCUGUAAAGUUGCGGACCUUCUUAGGUGAUCCCAUACCAUAUGACCCAAAGGUAACAGCAGAAGAAUUAGCCGAAAAGACCAAGAAUGCUGUUCAAGCUUUGAUUGACAAGCACCAAAGGAUACCGGGGAACAUUAGGAGUGCUCUGCUGGACCGCUUUCAUAAAGAGCAGAAGGCUCAUUAGCAGAUAGCUUAAUGUGUCUGCAGUGACAAGUUUGCAUCUGUGGUACUGUCUUGUAGGUUGUAUAUUGAUUAGUGUUUUUAAAACGUUGUGCUAAUGAACAUCUUUCUUUAGAACUUAAACUUUAUAUGGUUAAUCUUAUCCUUUCAAUCAGUUGUGUCAAAUUUAAUAAGUAGCUCAUCAUUUGCUUGACUCAGCAAAUGAUCAUGUUGCAUUUGCAGUUUUUUUAGUAGUAUAUGAUAAGCACAGAAUCUUAGAGUUAAGUCUUCCUUGGUAUCCGCAGAUUAGGUCAGGCAGACUUUACUAAAUCAUGUUUCUUAUGUUUGUGUCUGUUGUGCCAAUAUGAUAGUAGGGUGUAGCACUUGCUUAAUUAAGAUGAGUGAUGCCUUUAUGUAUCUGUCCUUCAUUCCAUUCACAACUGCUGGCAAGUUGUGGAACUCUUUUGCACCUCAAUGAUUUAUGUUAAGCAUGCUAAUACUGUGCUGAUGAACAUUAUUUUAAGUUGCUUAUAUCUACUGUGAUAUAUCCAUAUAUGAUAGAUAUCUGUAGUGAGAAUCUAUAAUUGAAUUGAUUCCUAAAUCCUCUAGGAGUUAUGUAUAUAAUUUUGUCCAUUGGAUGUUGAAACUACUCCUUCAGGUAUGAUGUCCAGUUGCCAAGCACAUUGAAAGAGAUGUACUAUUUUAUAAAUCAAAUCAUUGUUAUUUGUAGUAUUUAUUAACCGAAUUGUUUAGUAUUUAUUUUAAAUAAGUAUCUAAGGAAAUGUAUAGGAUGAGUUGUCAGCACAGUGUUUUAUGGUGUAAAGACAAAAUCAUGGGCAUGCUCUGCAGUUCAUGUUAGAAGUGGGUUCUAGGCUAAGGAAUAACAUGCUAAGACAGCUCUGGUCUCGCUCAGUAUCCGGGCUCUCUUCCUGUGCUUUGCAGCCAGUAACGUGGUUAUUAUUUUAAUAAAACGUACUUGAAUGAUAAACUUCUGUAAACAUGGAGCUCUCUGAAAAUGUAAUUGCUUUUGAUUUGUUGUCUUUUUGAAAACUUAUUUUAAAAGUAUUUAAACAACAAAGUAUCAUAAGCUCACUGCAGUAUGUCUGUCUCCUACCACCUUUGUAUACUUGGGUUUUAUAUGGACUUUUUAACUACAAGUGUUUAUUUAUGACAUAUAUAAUGUAUAUAGAAAUGAUGUGAAAAUAAAGCUGAAUUGCACCUCCUUCUCUAGUAAAAAUGUUAUUCUUGAGAUUCUUCAAAAUUGUCUCCAUACGUCUCAGUAGUCAUUUCUUUUGACCACAAUAAAUAUGUGGUAUACGUCCUAUGUAGUCUGUAUAUUUCAGGGACAACUUCAGAGAAAGGAGCCAAUUUGCUGCCACUCCCUCUCACUUUAGUAAAUGGUACUUGGUUCAAAGCUGUUAAAUAUUUCCAAAAUGAAGGAAUAAAAGUCUAUAAAAUG
RNA transcript from Mus musculus (house mouse), 2817 nucleotides. It is a transcript of the gene named transmembrane protein 68, with no coding region annotated. The record is from RefSeq and is marked validated. NCBI's taxonomy places the organism in Eukaryota, Metazoa, Chordata, Mammalia, Rodentia, Muridae. The transcript has 9 exons.